Molecule: non-coding RNA, 224 nt
Organism: Schizosaccharomyces pombe (fission yeast)
Lineage: Eukaryota; Fungi; Ascomycota; Schizosaccharomycetes; Schizosaccharomycetales; Schizosaccharomycetaceae
Source: the annotation of a GenBank genome assembly
CGAAAGCCAACGUGUCUAACCCAAGAAGAUCACUAACCGCUAAAACAGAACAAACAUUCACCUCAGCAGGGAUUCUUGGGGAAUCGCAAUACAAUGUAGAAAGCACAAACAAACAGGAUUCCUUAGUAACAUAGGGAUCCUCUGUCUCUACUUCUAUGGUAUAAUGUACAUCACCUUUGGGAUUAUUUUCAAUAAGCUUUUGUAGAAGAACAGGUGAUCUGCCA